CUCCCGACAGGAAGGAAGUGCUAGUCACAAGACCCAAUUACCACUCCCAGUUGGGCCCUUCCCCCACAAACUGUCAGUCUUGUUUCCUUUCCAAAUAGGAAUUCAAAAUUCAAAAUGCUAGGGAAUUCAAAAGUGUCAAUCAUAACUUUGAACAUGAAUGGGAUGAACUCACCCAUAAAACAUAGACGAAUAGGAGAGUAGAUUAGAAUCCAAAUUCCUACCAUAUGUUGUCUACAAGAAAUGCACAUGAGGCGAGUAGAUACUCACAAGGUCAGAAUUAAAGGGUGGAGUAUGACCUAUUGGACCUGUGGAAAGGAAACAAGACUGACAGUUUGUGGGGGAAGGGCCCAACUGGGAGUGGCAGUUGGGUCUUGUGACUAGCACUUCCUUUCUGCCGGAUGGGGCUUGCUUCCUGGUGUUGGAGGAGAGAGGAGCUUGUUCAGCCCAGUCUGGAGUGCCAUGCUCUUUCUUGGUUCAGCCUGAAGAUUCAAGUCCAAUCUGUUCUGAAGUUUCUUCUCUUGAGGAAGACAUAUACCGGUCAUUCUUCAAACACUAUUUCUGUUGCUGCUUAUAAUGUUUUCUUGAUUCUGCUCAUUGCAUUCUUCAAAAUUUCAGUUACAGACAUUUAUGCUACACUGGAGAAUGGAACAGCCAUGAAGUCAAGAAUACUAGGAGAGCUCCAGCCCUGACUCUGAUAUAUACUAUUUGUAAGCCACUUACCUUUGUGUCCCAGGUUGAUGACUUCCUUAGGAAGCAAUCCAGAGCCUACCUCUCCCAUGACCUUCUGGGCCACUAUGAGAUAUACCCUUCCUAUGCAGUUCACACUAUUUGGAUGAGCAGUGAAUUACCAACUUUAAUCCAGAAUGAUGAGACCAUCAGUCCUUAUCAUUUGCCCAGCCACUACAGUUUACAAACCCCUGAGCAUUGCCAUUUCCCCUGCCAGGGUACCCUGAGAAUUUUGAGGCUUUCUUUUCCAUCCUGCAGCUGAAUGUUCCUUUAAGUGUUGUUUCCUCCAACUAGAAUGAGAGCUCCUUGAGAGCAGGGAUCAAUUCAUUUUUUAUUUAUAGUCGCAAGGCUCAGCACAGUGUUUGGAAUAUUGUAAGGGUUUAAUAAAUACUUUUUCAUUCACUCA
This 1132-nucleotide long non-coding RNA is filed under the name Monodelphis domestica (gray short-tailed opossum). Its description in RNAcentral is "lncRNA (ENSMODG00000051052.1)". Lineage: Eukaryota; Metazoa; Chordata; Mammalia; Didelphimorphia; Didelphidae. The record is from RNAcentral.